CAGCCACAUCACAUUGAAACAACGGUUCCUGUACGAUCACCGAAGUUAAGCAACGUCGAGCCCCUACUCAGUACCUAAGUGGGUGACCACUUGGGAAUACCAGGUGCUGAA
Acanthosepion pharaonis is the source of this 111-nucleotide non-coding RNA. The record is from the annotation of a GenBank genome assembly. Lineage: Eukaryota; Metazoa; Mollusca; Cephalopoda; Sepiida; Sepiidae.